Molecule: ribosomal RNA, 608 nt
Filed under: Parcubacteria group bacterium GW2011_GWB1_43_8b
Lineage: Bacteria
Description: bacterial LSU rRNA
Rfam family: Bacterial large subunit ribosomal RNA
Source: RNAcentral
CGGAUGGAAAUCGGGCUGGACGUGUAAAGGCACAAGCCGGCUUAACUGCGAGACCUACAAGUCGAGCAGAUGCGAAAGCAGAACUUAGUGACCCGACGGCAAUGUUAUACGUUUUAAUUAAUGUGUAACUCUUCAUAGGAAGGCCGAAGACAACGGAUAAAAGCUACCCUGGGGAUAACAGGCUGGUGAUGCCCGAGAGUCCAUAUCGACGGCAUCGCUCGGCACCUUAAUAUGUCGGGGUGCUACAGCAGCAAUGUUGUAGCCUGGUAUCUAAACCUUAGUAUUUGGCUUAUAACGGUGGACUCUAUUUGUUCUAAUAAAUAGACAAUACCGUGGGAAGUUUGACUCAUAAUGGAAAAUAAAUGAGUUAUAGAGGGAAGUUGGCCCUAGUACGAGAGGACCGGGCUGAACGAACCUCUGGUCUACCGGCUUUGGCACCAGCUGAAGCGCCGGGUAGCUAUGUUCGGAAGGGAUAAGUGCUGAAAGCAUCUAAGCGCGAAGCCCAUCCCAAGAUUAGGCAUCUUAGGGCGGUUGAAGAUGACGACCUUGAUAGGCUCCAGGUGUAAGAUUCGCAAGAAUUUUAGCCGAGGAGUACUAAUAGCCCAUUC